CAGCUGGUAAUUUAGAAUAAAAUAUUAACUUUGGGAGUUAACAACCGGACGCCCCGCCGGCUGA
This 64-nucleotide transfer RNA is filed under the name Eurythoe complanata. RNAcentral describes it as "tRNA-Pro". Lineage: Eukaryota; Metazoa; Annelida; Polychaeta; Eunicida; Amphinomidae. The record is from RNAcentral.